RNAcentral lists this ribosomal RNA (288 nucleotides) under uncultured Spirochaeta sp. Its description in RNAcentral is "partial 16S ribosomal RNA". It matches the Rfam family "Bacterial small subunit ribosomal RNA", at positions 1095 to 1382 of the family's 1533-position model. Lineage: Bacteria; Pseudomonadati; Spirochaetota; Spirochaetia; Spirochaetales; Spirochaetaceae. The record is from RNAcentral.
AGCGCAACCCCUGCUAUCUGUUGCCAGCAAGUGAUGUUGGGGACUCAGAUGGGAACUGCCGGUGACAAACCGGAGGAAGUGGGGACGACGUCAAGUCAUCAUGGCCCUUAUGUCCUGGGCUACACACGUGCUACAAUGGCCGGUACAGAGCGCAGCUAGGCCGCGAGGCGGAGCGAAUCGCGAAAAGCCGGUCUCAGUACGGAUUGGAGUCUGAAACCCGACUCCAUGAAGUUGGAAUCGCUAGUAAUCGCGCAUCAGCAUGGCGCGGUGAAUACGUUCCCGGGCCUU